AACAAGGCGUACCUGCGGACCUGCGGAAGGAUCAUUAAAAAGAGUGUGUACCCCUCUGUAAAAUGAGUGGGUUACCUCCCGUCCUUUGUUGACCUCUUAGGAGGUUAUUUUGAACUUUCUGCUUCGGUGGGGUUAAACCUACCGGAACACCCUCAAAUUCUUAUCAUUUAAAAAUUGUUCAGUCUGAUUUUUGUUAAUAAAAACAAAAAACUUUUAACAAUGGAUCUCAGAUCGGAAGAG
Molecule: unclassified non-coding RNA, 240 nt
Filed under: soil metagenome
Description: partial contains 5.8S ribosomal RNA, internal transcribed spacer 2, and large subunit ribosomal RNA
Source: RNAcentral